UGCUUCAUGUUUUACUGUAAAUGUUCUGUCUGGUCGGUAGAAGACAAUCUAGAGAGUUCUGAAAAUGUAAUAACCAGAAAUGUCACAGCGUGGGACGAAGGUCAAAGCCAAUACCUGGAGAUACUCAGAAAUCUACUAGAAAGAUCUCUAGAAUUUACAUAGGCUGCUUCUACGGUGAGAACAGAGCAGCUCCGGCUCAGUGAGUCCUAAUGAAAUGAUUGCAGGCAGCUGUGACCUUCUCUGUGUGUCCAGGAGAAGUCGGGGAACAAAACCAGAAACUAAGAUGUCUGGACGAUCAAGACUCAGAUCAGAGAACAGGCCCCGCCUCCCUGCAGUUUUCCAAAGAAUCCCACAGAGGCUUACCAGAAACCCGGAGAGUCUUUCCUCGCCGGAGCUCGCGGUAGGGCCGAGUCUGAGCUCUCAGCGGCGGCGGAGUCUCAGUCGAGCCAAACCGACACCAAUCUGUCAGGCGUCCCACAAACACAAUAAUGACGAGGAAAUGAAGACGAGGAACUGAGAGGAGGAAGCCUAAACCAACGGAGACGCUCUGUCACUCAUGGAUAAAUGAUGUUCUCUGCGUUCGUCCCCCUCUUUCCUGCGAGCUGUUAGCUCUCCGAUCUGUCUUGUUUAUCUCAUUGUUAACAGCGACAGCCUCAUCUGCAUUUAAACUCCAUCAGCGCGGGGGCAGGUGAGUCUGGCUGACAGCUCUCGCGUCUAAUGAAGCAGCAGAUAAAAAUAUCACUUCUAUUUAUUAAGAACAGAAGGGGAGCGGCGGCGGCGGUGGAGGAGCGAGCGGCAGUUUAAUGAGCCAAAUUUAGCUGAAAACC
Long non-coding RNA from Oryzias melastigma (Indian medaka), 827 nucleotides. RefSeq lists it as uncharacterized. The transcript has 3 exons. NCBI's taxonomy places the organism in Eukaryota, Metazoa, Chordata, Actinopteri, Beloniformes, Adrianichthyidae. The record is from RefSeq and is a predicted model, not a curated record.